Molecule: long non-coding RNA, 4899 nt
Filed under: Mus musculus (house mouse)
Lineage: Eukaryota; Metazoa; Chordata; Mammalia; Rodentia; Muridae
Description: long non-coding RNA chr9:95201163-95206062
Source: RNAcentral
GCAUUAACCUGCAGAAGGAAUCUUGGCAGCAGGUGAUGCAUUUCAGCCAGGCAGGUGUAUAUUUUAUUUAUGAACUGGUAGAAGUGUGCAGAUACAUGAGAAGAGGAAUGUAUAGAAAAUGCAUCCUUAAACACACUCCACUGUGAAGACAGAUGGGGAAAAGUUGAAGACCUGUGCAUUUUCUAAUUUACCAUGCCACCACCAAAGAGAAGGGGAACCUCAUGCUAAAACUCUGGGGUCCUGAUUCCUUCUCUUUUGUCCCCCAGCAGGGGAAAUAUUAACACACCAGGAUCCUGGUUCAGUUAAGACAAUCUAUGCUUCAGCCAGAAGUACCCUGGCUGGAGGCACAGGAUGAUAAAAGGUCUCGCAUGUGCACUUGACCCAAAAUCAUAAGGGUCUUGUAGUUUGGAAGAUGUAUCAGAGGGGACAAAUUUAUCUUCAUAGUGUCUAUUAGGUAUGAGCCCAUCUUACACAGGGUACAUGCCAGAGACAUAGAAAAAGAGUCUAAGAAGUGACCUUCAAAAUCACCAAGCCCAUAUACCUAGUUUUACAGCUCCAGGAUAUUCCUAACCACAGGGUCAGUUCAGUGGACACAGAAGAGCAGGGGACCUUGGUGUGGUCAAGAACAUGGCAGGUUCUGCUGAAAGUGGGCUACGUUAGAUUCGGGUCUCAGAUAUAUGAACCGAGGAACAUUUCCUAAAUGUUCUGACUCUUGCUUCGCUCAUUUGAACAUUGGCUACAAUACCAUAAGUUCACAAACUAUUUUCUGCAAAGUUAAUGUGUUUCAUGAUACAUUUUCAUGGUAAGUCUGACAAGAACUGAGCUAAUUUGGAGGCAAAAGCUCCGUAAAGUAAGAGGAAGCUGAAUGUUACCUCUCCCUAUCCCUCGGCAGCCAAGGGCCAAGCUCACAGGAGCUCACUACAGAAUUACACUGUGACAUUUCCUGGCUCUUUUCUGUCCCAUUUUAAACUAGAAAGGAGACAUCAGAAUAGGAGAAGAUACCUGGUCCAGUGACGAAUCCCUAUCUUCCUAACAUUUGGGGAGGGUGAGACAAGAGAAUUGCCACAAGGUCCCAAGUCAAUCUGGGCCUGAGAGUGAAUUCCAGGAUAGUUUAGGCUACACAUCAAGAAGAAGGAGGAAGAAGAGAAGGUAUUCCCCUGGAAUCUUAGGAGAAUCCCAUUAUUCUAUAACACAGAAUUUAAAGAAUGCCAUUUCAAAAGAAAACAAUUAAGUGGCCCUUCAACAAACCCAUAAGCCACGUUUUGCUCAGUGAGUGCUGGAUUCUAACUGCCAUAGCCAAGACCAUCCCUACACAUUGGGACAGUGAUAAUCAGAGUAUGCAGUGGGCCCUGCUCAGAAUAAGACUACCACCUAGUCCUCUGCCACUCAGUAGUUUUCCUUGAAGGUCGGGAUGGUUUUAUCCACUAGGAACCAUCUGAGGCAAGUGCCCAUGGCUACAGCCAAGUCUCAUCAGUGUGGCACUUUGGUGUCAGAGACUGACAGCUGAAGGGCUAUAGGAGUAGACACUGGGAUGCUAAGAUGACAAAAAGCUGGGUUUGGUGGUUGUUUAUGGGAUGGAUCCCCAGGUGGGGCAGUUUCUGGAUGAUCAUACCUUCAGUCUCUGCUCCGAACUUUGUCUCUGUAACUCCUUCCAUGGGUAUUUUGUUCCCCCUUCUAAGAAGUAACAGAGUAUCCACACUUUGGUAUUUCUUCUUCUUGAGUUUCAUAUGUUUUGAAAAUUGUAUCUUGGGUAUUCUGAGCUGCUGGGCUAAUAUCCACUAAUCGGUGAGUACAUAUCAUGUGUGUUCUUUUGUGAUCGGGUUACCUCACUCAAGAUGAUAUCCUCCAGAUCCAUCCACUUGUCUAAGAAUUUCAUGAAUUCAUUGUUUUUAAUAGCUGUGUAGUACUCCAUUGUGUAAAUGUGCCACAUUUUCUGUAUCCAUUCUUCAGUUGAGGGACAUCUGGAUUCUUUACAGCUCCUGACUAUUAUUUAUAAAUAAGGUUGCUAUGAACAUAGUGGAGCACUAUUGCAGAUGCCAGCAAGAUUUUUGGUGAUAGGAGCCUGAUAUAGCUGUCUCCUGGGAGGCUCUGCCAGUGCCUGGCAAAUACAGAAGUGGAUGCUCACAGUCAUCAUUGGACAGAGCACAGGGUCCCCAAUGAAGGAGCUAGAGAAAGUACCCAAAGAGCUAAAGGGGUUUGCAGCCCCCUAGGAGGACCAACAAUAUAAACUAGCCAGUACCCCCAAGAGCUCCCUGGGACUAAACCACCAAUCAAAGAAAACACACAGAGGGACUCGUGGCUCUAGCUUCAUAUGUAGCAGAGGAUUGCCUAGUCAGUCAUCAAUGGGAGGAGAGGCCCUAAGUCUUGUGAAGGUUCUAUUCCCCAGUAUAGGGGAAUGCCAAAGCCAGGAAGUGGGAGUGGGUGGGUUGGAGAGCAGUGGGAGGGAGGAGGGGAUAGGGGAUUUUCGGAGAGGAAACUAGGAAAGGGGAUAACAUUUGAAAUGUAAAUAAAGAAAAUAUCUAAUUUUUAAAAAAUGACGACAAGCUGAUGCUCACAGGAAAGGUAAGGGACCUAGCCUUAUUAAUAACCUUAUUGUGCUUAGGUCAUUCUCAGGCAAGUCAGAAUCCUUUGUCCUAUGCCACCUAUAGUGCUGGCUUUCCAGACGCCAUGACCUCCUCAACCUCAAGCUCUCUGUCUUCUGUCAAAGGCAGACUUCCAGCCGACAUGAAGCAAGACUCUUUUGAGCCUUGGCUGAGUCCUGGGCAAGGCACUAAGCAGAUGAAUAAAGCAUACCUCUGCCUAUGACAGAUGUAAGGCUUUCAGCUACCCCCAGGCAUCUGAGCCACAGCAUUGGAUUGAUUCUCAAAGAAGGUGCUGUCAAUCACAAACCUGGGUGACAGAGAAGACUGGGAGUAGGGAACAGGCCAGGGUAAUUUCAAUCUGAAAAAAGCAUUGCUUAGAAAUAGUCUGAAUCCACGUGGUUUAUUUGGGUUCCUGAGCUCAUCUGUCAUGUAGCAUCAGUUAUCCAAGCUGCUGGUCCUAAAACACACUUUGGGAUCUGGCCCUCUGCUUCAUCUCUACAAGACGCUCCUUGAUAUUCAGAAGGUUGGUGCUGUUAGCAAGGCUAUCCAGUUCGCCCAUGUGGGAUGGCUGAUGGAGAGCAGGAAAAGCUUAGCUCCAUGGGGUAUCCAAGCCCACUGGCAGUGUGCAGAGGCAGGGCUUCCCUGGGUCCUGGAACCUGGGACCAAAUGGACAAGCUGCCAUUUGUUGCCAUCAUGUGCUUCCCUUAUACACUACAUUUCUGUUGGGGCUCAGGAAUCACCUCACACACCACACAAACUCGGGGUACAGAUUCUGUAAUUGAACCAUAACCCUGAGUUAAGGUUCUACAGGGUUUUGAAGUCCAAAAUUCACAAACAUCUGUGCCAGGUUAUUUCACCAAUCAGGAUAGAGGGAUAAGGAAUUUCCUUAAGAGUAUGUCUUUGUUGUACACUGAUCCUGCUCCCAUUGCUUGGGGUAUUCAACUGUGGCAGGGGACUUGCCUUGUCUAACAUUCAUGUCUUAACUUGACUACUAGGAUGGGCCUUAUCUAACAUUCAUGUCUUAACUUGCCAGCCAGGAUGUCAGUUACCCAUGCCCAUGUCCAUAACAGAAAGAGUUCUGCCAAGUAGGAUGUCAGUUCCCUAGAAGAUCGUGGGAACUAAAUUUUGCUUGCUUGCUAAUCAAAAUGGAAUUUUUAUUCCAAGUGGUUUCUUAUAUUGGUGCAGGUGUCUCUCUUAUGUUGGGGUCCAUCCCAUGGGCAGCUUAUGAAGGCAAAUAUCAUAAAAGCUUAUACAUAGGUAUAGGAAUUGCUAUUGGGUGGCUGUUUGGAGUUCAAGCUCAUUGUGGGUAACUAUACAAUCAGUUCUACUGAUUUCUAUUGUGAUUGGUUUCCAAGGGAGCAGAACAUAACAGACUCAAUCUUGGCAUUAGAAAGUUUCCUAGGAGCAGCAGAAACAAAGGAGAAAGUUUCCUUAUAGUGGCAAGCUAGCCAAGUAACUGUUACCUAGGCCUUAACAUUUUAUCUAGGCUUAAAUAUUUUACCUAGGCUCUAGCAUUCCCAAAUCUGUACUGAACACCUACUGUGGAAGUCAACUAUAUUGCAGAACCAGGCAUUACCAAGCACCAGUCUCUGAGAUACUCCUCUUGCCCCUCCUUUCCCUGGCCAUUAUGUCCUCAGUUAUCCAGAACUCAACUCAAAAGUUAGUUUCCAUACCCAGGUAGAAGAAACAGCAGCUACAAAACAAAGCUCAGCUUCCAGAAGGAGACUGGUCUCCGGGACCAUCUGCAUUACACCUUUUCUAAGGACCAGAGGAGCCUUCAAUGUUGAUUUUCCUGUAAUCAGGGAAGCCCUGUGAUUCCCAUCAGCUUUACAGAAGACUUCCUCUGGCUCUAAGAAGAAGGAUAGCAAAGAUCUGAGCCAAUCAUCACUGCCUAGAGACAUGAACGGGCAUCAUUACAACUCUGAAGAGAGGUGCCAACAAGCUGGGUGUGGGAAUUAGUUAUAGGCUGGAGAGGAAGGAAGAAUAAAUGAGUGUCUGGAGGACAGACACAUGAUUGCAAGGAUACUAGGAAUGUCUUAGGAAUGUGGACCAGACAGAACCUGGAGGUUGAUUUGACAUAGUGGAGAAAAGGGAAUGAAGACUUGUAGGUUAAGCCCAUGUUUGAACAUGAAGCAAGAGGCCCUUUCAAUGAGACACAGAGCACAAAGGAAGAAAAGGGCUCAGGGAAAUGAGAGAUGCUACACAAAGUGUGGGUCCGGGUAAGUGUGGAAAUGCCUUGCAGUGUCUCUGAGAGUCCUUUGCUAUUUCCAAAGCUUCAUUGCCGAAUGGGUAAAGACAAUGGGACAUUUGGGGGAAG